CGGGCGUGCCUAACACAUGCAAGUCGUACGAGAAAGUCGGCUUCGGCUGAUGGUAAAGUGGCGCACGGGUGAGUAACGCGUGGAUAAUCUGCCCUUGAGUGUGGAAUAACGUACCGAAAGGUGCGCUAAUACCGCAUAAUGCCUGGCAACACAAGUUGUCCGGCCAAAGAAGGCCUCUGUUUACAAGCUUUUGCUCAAGGAUGAGUCCGCGUACCAUUAGCUAGUUGGUGGGGUAACGGCCUACCAAGGCUACGAUGGUUAGCUGGUCUGAGAGGAUGAUCAGCCACACUGGAACUGAGACACGGUCCAGACUCCUACGGGAGGCAGCAGUGAGGAAUAUUGCGCAAUGGGGGCAACCCUGACGCAGCAACGCCGCGUGAGUGAGGAAGGUUUUCGGACUGUAAAGCUCUGUCGAGCGGGAAGAAAUGUACCAUGGCUAAUAUCCAUGAUAUUUGACGGUACCGCUAGAGGAAGCACCGGCUAACUCCGUG
RNAcentral lists this ribosomal RNA (491 nucleotides) under uncultured bacterium. RNAcentral's name for it is "bacterial SSU rRNA". It matches the Rfam family "Bacterial small subunit ribosomal RNA", at positions 40 to 507 of the family's 1533-position model. The record is from RNAcentral.